AACGAACGCUGGCGGCAUGCCUAACACAUGCAAGUCGAACGAGACCUUCGGGUCUAGUGGCGCACGGGUGCGUAACGCGUGGGAACCUGCCCUUAGGUUCGGAAUAACUCCCCGAAAGGGGUGCUAAUACCGGAUAAUGUCUUCGGACCAAAGAUUUAUCGCCUUUGGAUGGGCCCGCGUUGGAUUAGCUAGUUGGUAGGGUAAAAGCCUACCAAGGCGACGAUCCAUAGCUGGUCUGAGAGGAUGAUCAGCCACACUGGGACUGAGACACGGCCCAGACUCCUACGGGAGGCAGCAGUGGGGAAUAUUGGACAAUGGGCGAAAGCCUGAUCCAGCAAUGCCGCGUGAGUGAUGAAGGCCUUAGGGUUGUAAAGCUCUUUUACCCGGGAUGAUAAUGACAGUACCGGGUGAAUAAGCUCUGGCUAACUCCGUG
This 433-nucleotide ribosomal RNA is filed under the name uncultured bacterium. RNAcentral's name for it is "partial 16S ribosomal RNA". It matches the Rfam family "Bacterial small subunit ribosomal RNA", at positions 29 to 507 of the family's 1533-position model. The record is from RNAcentral.